CGGACGGAAGUUAAAAAAAAGUCACCGUUGCAAAUUGUUGAAAGCCAAGCGCUUGCCGCCAGACUUGCCCGCAGUUGCUCAACCGGUUUCCUGACCGGCGUCUCUUCUGCGGCCGGCCCUCUCCAGUUCGGUCGGUCGUAUAAAGCCCUUGCGAAUGUCCCUCCUUUCGGGGAGUGUUAUAGCCCAGGCUGGAAUGCCUCCACCCUGCACUGUGGAUCUCGUUUCCCUACCAU
Molecule: ribosomal RNA, 233 nt
Filed under: Macrophomina phaseolina
Lineage: Eukaryota; Fungi; Ascomycota; Dothideomycetes; Botryosphaeriales; Botryosphaeriaceae
Description: partial 28S ribosomal RNA
Source: RNAcentral